UUCUCUGCAUCAUUCAGCAUGUGCGCGAGGACAGAGACGGACGAGGUGCGUGGCUGAGGUCAAGACUAAAGCAAACAAAGAAGCAGCUGCAGCAGCUCGGGCCGAAUGAAUCCAGAAUCAUCCGAUGGACACUUGGUUCCAGGGAACAUCGUUUCCUGUGACAGAGAGGAGACACUCAUCCUUGC
Molecule: long non-coding RNA, 185 nt
Organism: Nematolebias whitei (Rio pearlfish)
Lineage: Eukaryota; Metazoa; Chordata; Actinopteri; Cyprinodontiformes; Rivulidae
Exons: 3
Source: RefSeq, a predicted model, not a curated record